RNA transcript from Neofelis nebulosa (Clouded leopard), 2327 nucleotides. RefSeq lists it as uncharacterized. NCBI's taxonomy places the organism in Eukaryota, Metazoa, Chordata, Mammalia, Carnivora, Felidae. The record is from RefSeq and is a predicted model, not a curated record. The transcript has 5 exons.
CCUCACUGUAUUGUCAAGGGAGGAGCCAGUAAGACACAUAAUAAACGUCAUUGAUCAAAUCUUGGUAGGACGUAUGCGAGUGCAAAGGACAGAGAAGCCAGUUCCACUUGGGGUGCAGAAGGGCUUAACUUUAAUUUCGUUCCACAGCCCAGGAACCAGCGGGUUCCAGAAGCUUUCGGGGCUCCAUCUGACACAAGAAUUGUCAUCUAGUAUGUGAAUGAUGACAUAGGGGACGAGACCCUGACCGUCCGACACAGUAGAGCUCCAUGAAUGACUUAUCCAUGAAGAUGAGUCCCGUUGGGUUUCUCCCACCGGCAGUGGUUUCUGCCCUCGUCUGCUGGCGAAAGUUCCCGGGGCGUGAACAGAGCCAGCAUGGAGAAUUCCUCUUCUGCACGCACGCUAGUGAGCCACUGAGCAUCAUGGACACUUGCGGGGCUCGUGGGGACCUUGGAGGACACGUGGUCAACUAGCUGAUGUUAUGGACGAUGUAUACAUCUUCACAAAGCCCUUGGCCACACAGCAGAGUGGUGCGGGUGCCCGAAUCCUGGCCGAGCAACUUCCCAAUGGAGUGGCCUCUGGGAAGCUACUGUCCUUCACUUUAUCUGUAAAAUGGUUAUGCGGCUAAAUCGAGGCAGGGUGUAACGAGAGAGAUGGGGAGGCGGAUGCGACGCCUUCUACGUUGGCCGCCAGAAGGAGCCUGCCGGCCGUGGAACCCACUGAGGUCCUGUUAGAGCCAUGAGCCUCGGGGAAAACAGCCUUGCCACCCCAAGAAGGGGGAGGACUCCCCAAGGGUUAAAAGACUCGCAUUCCCAAAGUCACCCAAAGGUCCUUCUUAUCAUAUGAUCUGGCAAACAGCUGCCUUUACUGGAGGCAGUUGCACAGUUAGGUGCUAAAAGUCUCCGUGGUAAACGCAUCAUGUACGGCGUGAAGUCACAUGUGCCUUUCCGAGAGCCAAGAUCUUGCAAAGGUAUGAAAACAAGAACAAAACAAACCUUCCCGUGGAGGCACAGAAAAGAUCCAGUCAGCUCCUCGUUUCUGACCAGCCUGCGGUUCGGAAAUAGGGAGAGUGUUCUCCAACAAACACACAACAACAGCAGAUAGCCAAAGAACAAACAAGAGAAACAGCAAACAGAAAUGUCACACACAUUCAGAGACCUGUUUGUUUAGCUGGAAUAUUCUACUGACGGUUACAUAAAGGAGGAGGGGAGCACCAAGGAUCCAGGUGGAGAACCUGAAAAAAAGAAGAAGGAAAAAAAAAAAAAACCAACUUGUUUUGGUCUGAUGUGGGGAGAAGUUUGAAACGUUUGGGAGAGCGCGUCCUAGAGAAAAGACCAGGAAAAGUGGAAGAAUGCCGAAUGUGUUCCGUAAUGACCUCAUGGCACUCUCAUUACACAGGAAUUCAGGGCUCCGGCAGAGCGACGAAAAGAGUGCUGCAGUUAAGCAGAUCUGCCUGGUUUACUUGGCACAAACCAUAAAAAGACAUCAGUAUCUCUCUCCACCUUCUGGAGGCUCCAAAGUCCCCUCCUGGCUGCGGCGGUCAGGCCGAGCCUGGGGGCCCCAGUGGCCAUCCAGCACCCAGGGUGAGCCUGUAGAAGGCUGUCCAGCUCCAGUCCUCCCGGGGCCUGUCCAUCAAGCUCGGAAUGAACCGAACCUUCUCAGUGAGACUUGCAACACCCACAUGCUUUGCUUUUCCAGGGCAGCCUCCGGGAGGUCAGGACUUUAUCUGCACGUCUGCAGCACCAACAGGGCCCAGUGUUGGGGAACUGUCGUCAAAGAUCAGUCUCCUGCCAACCCAGAGAAGCCUCUCCACAAAGCUACCUUCUACACAGCGAUGAUUAACGCUGCAGAUGGCCGUUGGCCAUUACCUCUCAGCCUCUCCUCUCUGGGCUGGCGGAGGGCAGAACGGAGUUUUCCCGCUUACAUCACAUCCUCAGCCUUCCUGGCGCUGCCUUUUUAACGUGUGUUUAUUUUUGAGAGACAGAGAGACGGAGCACCAAAGCGGGCCCCGGGGUUCCGAGCUGUCCGCACGGAGCCCGACGCAGGGCUCGAACCCACGAACCAUGAGAUCGUGACCCGAGCCAAAGUCUGACGCUGAACCGACUGAGCCACACGGGUGCCCCCCCCCCGCCCGCCCUGGCACUGUCUUUGGCGCUGUCCGUGUCCCGUGUUUUCUGGGGGCCUCACUGGCCAUGUUGGGAGCACUGCCCGGGAAACCUUUUUGCGCUCAGGCUGGUCAACCCUGCCCCGUGCCCCCAGGGAAGGCCCUGUGUGUCUUGCCCUAUGGUGAUCUCUCACCAAGUGUGAAAUAAACAAAUGCUCUCAGGUCA